CAUUAAGUUGCUGAGGCUGGCCUUGAACUUGGAGUCUUCCUGCCUCAGUCUUCUGAGUUUCUGGGAUUACAAGAAUAUACCACUGUACCUGGCUAGUUCAUGCAAUUUUAAUACAUAAACAAUACAGAUGAGCAUUUGAAUUAGAUGGCCUUACAGUUUACUUAUCAGUAAGGUUGUCUAGUUAUUGUUCCUUUGCUUUGGGACUGAAUUCCUUAUAUGCCUGAAGUAGGCUAAAAUUGAGAGGCCCCAGGACAAAUGGUGCAUGCCUGUAAUCCCAGUGAUUUAAGAGAUUGACUUUGAGGCCAUCCUCUGCAAUUUGGUGAGACCCUGCCUCAAACAGUAGAAAUGACUGGCGACAGAGCUCAGGUUGGGGGACUCUCGGGUUAAGUCUCUAAUACUACACCUUGCUCCUUGAUUUUUCUUUUUUUUUUUUUCUUUCCUUUUUUGGACUGAGAAUGUGAAAAUCUCUCAAACCCUUUGCAUUGGACUCAGCGGUGCUUUUGACAGUCACUCUUACGCACCCCUUUCAGGCAGGGUAGGGGCCAGACCUGAAGCCUAACCCAUGCCGCUGUUAUAUUCCUGCUGACCCUCAUGAGUUCUGAGAACUCCUUCACUGCCCACUGUGCCUGUGUCUGUGCAAACAGGGCGAGUCCCAGGUUGCAUAUGGCUCCAAAGGACUCUGGAUCCAUUCAGUUCAUUGAGGUGUUAACUGAGAACAAGACUUUCAAACAACUUUAAAAAAACUCUUCAAUAUAUGAUGAAGUCUAAACUUCUAAAUGGGAAAAGGGUCCCCCCCCCCCUUUCAUUUGGAGCAGAAAUAGUCCUUUCAAAACAUUGAGCUUGGCACAUACCUGUAAUCCCAGCGGCUCGGGAAGGCUGAGGCAGGAGGAUCGCGAGUUCAAAGCCAGCCUCAACAAAAACGAGGCGCUAAGUAGCUCUGUGAAACUCUGUCUUUAAAUAAAUAAAAUAUAAAAUAGGGCUGGGGAUGUAGCUCAGUGGCCAAGUGCCCCUGAGUUCAAGCCCUGAUAUACAGCACCUCUCUCCCCCAUCAAAAGAAAAAAAAAAGUUGAAUUAGGGAUGGGAAUGUAACCUAGUUGUAGAGAAGAUGCUUGGCAUGCCUAAGUCCUUUGGUUCCAUCCACAGAAGUGCUUCAAACCAGUCAACCAGUUAGGUUAAGAUAGCUGUCAGUGUCUCCUGUUUCAGACCCAGCCAAGAGGCUAGCUGGUCGGCACAGCCCACUGAGGAGAGGCCAGGCUGGCCUGGGUACUGUCACUUUGGAGUGUGAGUAUCUUGCACAUCCUGGAUGGGAGGCUGUGGGGUUUUACGCUAGGUCUACACUGUUCUUAUAUUUGUUUUAGUUAAUAGCCACUUUUACAGAGAGACAGAACAGUGGAACAGAGAGAUAGUUGAAUUCCUUCUUCCCUCCCCCUCCCCCGGGGAUUGAUCUCAGGGGGACUGAACUCAAGGUGACUGAACCAUAGAGUCACAUCCCCACCCUUGUUUUGUAUUUUACUUAGAGUCAGGGUCUCACUGAAUUCCUCAGUGUCUUGCUGAGGAAGUUGGCUUUCUUGUGAAUUCCUACCAGAGAGAUAGAAUAAAUCUUAAUUUUAAAGUUUCCCACUUACAAAGUAAGAAUUUGUUUUAAAACUGCCUUAGCUGUCACUUUUUUUUUUUUCUGGACUUUUGUUGGGAUGGGGUAGAAUACUGGGAUUGAAUGCCAAAGUUCUCUACCACUGAGCUACAUCCC
RNAcentral lists this long non-coding RNA (1747 nucleotides) under Marmota monax (woodchuck). Lineage: Eukaryota; Metazoa; Chordata; Mammalia; Rodentia; Sciuridae. The record is from RNAcentral.